This 460-nucleotide ribosomal RNA is filed under the name uncultured bacterium. Its description in RNAcentral is "partial 16S ribosomal RNA". It matches the Rfam family "Bacterial small subunit ribosomal RNA", at positions 338 to 795 of the family's 1533-position model. The record is from RNAcentral.
CCUACGGGUGGCAGCAGUGAGGAAUAUUGGUCAAUGGACGAGAGUCUGAACCAGCCAAGUAGCGUGAAGGAUGACUGCCCUAUGGGUUGUAAACUUCUUUUAUAUGGGAAUAAAACGUUCCAAGAGUGGGAUUUUGUAUGUACCAUAUGAAUAAGGAUCGGCUAACUCCGUGCCAGCAGCCGCGGUAAUACGGAGGAUCCGAGCGUUAUCCGGAUUUAUUGGGUUUAAAGGGAGCGUAGGUGGAUUGUUAAGUCAGUUGUGAAAGUUUGCGGCUCAACCGUAAAAUUGCAGUUGAAACUGGCAGUCUUGAGUACAGUAGAGGUGGGCGGAAUUCGUGGUGUAGCGGUGAAAUGCUUAGUUAUCACGAAGAACUCCGAUUGCGAAGGCAGUUCACUGGACUGCAACUGACACUGAGGCUCGAAAGUGUGGGUAUCAAACAGGAUUAGAUACCCCGGUAGUC